UACAGAGGGGGCAAGCGUUGUUCGGAAUUACUGGGCAUAAAGCGCACGUAGGUGGUCCGCUAAGUCGGAUGUGAAAUUCCCCGGCUCAACCGGGGAACGGCAAUCGAUACUGGCGGGCUUGAGGUCCGGAGGGGUGAGUGGAACUCCUGGUGGAGCGGUGAAAUGCGUAGAUAUCAGGAGGAACACCAGUGGCGAAAGCGGCUCACUGGCCUGAAUCUGACACUGAGGUGCGAAAGCUAGGGUAGCAAACGGG
This 253-nucleotide ribosomal RNA is filed under the name uncultured bacterium. RNAcentral's name for it is "partial 16S ribosomal RNA". It matches the Rfam family "Bacterial small subunit ribosomal RNA", at positions 524 to 776 of the family's 1533-position model. The record is from RNAcentral.